RNAcentral lists this ribosomal RNA (253 nucleotides) under uncultured bacterium. RNAcentral describes it as "partial 16S ribosomal RNA". It matches the Rfam family "Bacterial small subunit ribosomal RNA", at positions 524 to 776 of the family's 1533-position model. The record is from RNAcentral.
UACAGAGGGGGCAAGCGUUGUUCGGAAUUACUGGGCGUAAAGGGCGCGUAGGCGGCCUGCUAAGUCGAACGUGAAAUCCCCGGGCUCAACCCGGGAACUGCGUCCGAUACUGGCAGGCUUGAAUCCGGGAGAGGGAUGCGGAAUUCCAGGUGUAGCGGUGAAAUGCGUAGAUAUCUGGAGGAAUACCGGUGGCGAAGGCGGCAUCCUGGACCGAGAUUGACACUGAUGAGCGAAAGCUAGGGGAGCAAACGGG